This 464-nucleotide ribosomal RNA is filed under the name uncultured bacterium. RNAcentral describes it as "bacterial SSU rRNA". It matches the Rfam family "Bacterial small subunit ribosomal RNA", at positions 30 to 504 of the family's 1533-position model. The record is from RNAcentral.
UGAACGUUGGCGGCGUGCCUAAUACAUGCAAGUCGGACGAGGAACCUGGUAUUUAUAUCGGGAUCUCCUAGUGGCGAACGGGUGAGUAACGCGUUGGUGACCUGCCCCAAAGAGAGGGACAACAGUUCGAAAGAAUUGCUAAUACCUCAUGUGGUCAUAAGGAUUAGAUGCCUAAUGAUUAAAGGAGUAAUCCGCUUUGGGAGGGACCUGCGUCCCAUCAGCUAGUUGGUAGGGUAAUGGCCUACCAAGGCUUCGACGGGUAGGGGACCUGAGAGGGUGGUCCCCCACAAUGGAACUGAAACACGGUCCAUACACCUACGGGUGGCAGCAGUAGGGAAUAUUGCCCAAUGGACGAAAGUCUGAGGCAGCAACGCCGCGUGUGCGAUGAAGGCCUUCGGGUUGUAAAGCACUUUUGCGUGGGAAGAGGAAGGACGGUACCACGAGAAUAAGGAUCGGCUAACUAC